This 188-nucleotide long non-coding RNA is filed under the name Dasypus novemcinctus (nine-banded armadillo). RNAcentral describes it as "lncRNA (ENSDNOG00000052467.1)". Lineage: Eukaryota; Metazoa; Chordata; Mammalia; Cingulata; Dasypodidae. The record is from RNAcentral.
AUUAGCUGGGCUCCUGAGGAAAAGCGGCGGCCGGGGAACUGGGCCUGCGCAGCUGCUUCCUGCCCAGCCGGGGGACCCCAGAGCGUCAGGCCACACACCACCUGGGAAGAGGCUCUCCACUCGCUCGGGCGCCUGGAGGGGGACCGCGGGCUGAGGACGCGCCGGCGCGCGGUAAGGCCCUUCUGCCU